AGCAGCCGCGGUAAUUCCAGCUCCAAUAGCGUAUAUUAAAGUUGUUGCAGUUAAAAAGCUCGUAGUUGAAUUUCGGGGUUCUACCGUUGGUCGGGCUAACCAGUCUGUACUAGCGUGUAGAAUUCCUACCUUCUGGGGGAACCAUCAUGUUAUUAAUUUAGCGUGGUGGGAAACCAGGACCUUUACCUUGAAAAAAAUUAGAGUGUUCAAAGCAGGCUUACGUCUGAAUACAUUAGCAUGGAAUAAUAAAAUAGGACGGUGGUCCUGUUUUGUUGGUUUCUGAAUCACCGUAUGAUUGAUAGGGAUAGUUGGGGGCAUUAGUAUUCAAUUGUCAGAGGUGAAAUUCUUGGAUUUAUUGAAGACUAACUUCUGCGAAAGCAUUUGCCAAGGAUGUUUUCAUUAAUCAAGAACGAAAGUUAGGGGAUCGAAGACGAUCAGAUACCGUCGUAGUCUUAACCAUAAACUAUGCCGACUAGGGAUCGGACGAUGUUAAAUUUUAUUGACUCGUUCGGCGCCUUAC
RNAcentral lists this ribosomal RNA (520 nucleotides) under uncultured Scutellospora. Its description in RNAcentral is "SSU rRNA". It matches the Rfam family "Eukaryotic small subunit ribosomal RNA", at positions 569 to 1091 of the family's 1831-position model. The record is from RNAcentral. Lineage: Eukaryota; Fungi; Glomeromycota; Glomeromycetes; Diversisporales; Gigasporaceae.